CCAUCAGAUCUCGUGAGACUUAUUCACUAUCAUGAGGACAGCAUGGGAAAAAGCCCAUCCCCGUGAUUCAGUUACCUCCCGCCGGGCCCCUUCUACAACAUUUGGGAAUUAUUACAACUCAAGGUGAGAUUUGAUGGUAAGAGAUUAACAGCAAUACCCAAUAAUAAAAUAGAACUAUUAUGACAAUAUGCCAGCAUCACUACUCUUGAACUUUCAGGCCAUU
This 223-nucleotide long non-coding RNA is filed under the name Pan troglodytes (chimpanzee). RNAcentral describes it as "long non-coding RNA NONPTRT004878". The record is from RNAcentral. Lineage: Eukaryota; Metazoa; Chordata; Mammalia; Primates; Hominidae.